This 9200-nucleotide long non-coding RNA is filed under the name Nicotiana tabacum (common tobacco). RNAcentral describes it as "long non-coding RNA (NTAB_LNC018679)". Lineage: Eukaryota; Viridiplantae; Streptophyta; Magnoliopsida; Solanales; Solanaceae. The record is from RNAcentral.
CACCACUUGGGUCAAAUCUCUUAGAGGAUUCGGUGCAUCAAUCAAAGAUCAAUCUGCAACGGCUAUUCAAACUCUCCUAUAAGAAGACGGGCAAUCUCAAGAAGAAGAUUAACACAACUACACAAACUAUUUUCUUAGCCUCUCUAGUUCUUAGUACAAACAUUGUAUUCUUGAGUCUGUAAGUGUCACAAAAUAUAGGAAGAGUUAGAACACAAAAAGAGAGUUGUGUCAAUAUUACAAAAACCACUGCUACUGAAUAUCGUUGAUGGUGAACGUACUAAAACCAUAACUAUUGUAAUCCUUUAUCAAAGAUCUAUAAGAACCCUUGUGACCCAAGGGAACUGGACGUAGGUACCACACCGGUACUGAACUAGUAUAAAAAUUGAUGUGCCUUCUUUACCUUUCCGUUUGUUUAUUUCAUUCCUACUGAAAUUGUUCACUGUGCAAAAACUAAUUGACUAAACUCACACUUAGUCAACCAAGAUUUUAAUUGGCUACAAUUCACCUCCCCCCCCCCCCGUACUUUCAAUUGGUAUCAGAGUAAGGCUCACAAAUUUUGCUUAACAGCUAGUGAGGAAAAGAUCAUGAGAUCAAACAAAGUUGUUGGACCGCUAUUUCAAGAAGGAACCUCUCAGGUACGACCUCCAUAUUUCAACGGGCAACACUUUUCUCACUGGAAAGUACGUAUGGAAACAUAUACUAUGUCAUAUGACAUUAAAGCUUGGCGCGUGAUCAAAAAGGAAACUCUUCCAAUUCCGCCAAAGAAAGAUGAAAAUGGUCAAGUCAUAGUAUCAACUGAUCCACUUGACUAAGAUGACUACACUGAUGAACAAUCAGCCAUCAUAACAGUGAAUGCCAAAGCAAAAUAUUUACUGUAUAAUGCUAUUAGUGGAGAAGAAUAUGAAAAUAUAUCAAGCUGUGAAACUGCUAAGGAAAUGUGGAUUAAAUUAGAGGUCACGUAUGAAGGAACUAACAAAGUGAAAGAAACAAGGAUCAAUCUUCUUAUUCGGGACUAUGAAUUAUUUCAAAUGAAGGAUGGAGAAUCAGUAGAGGAAAUGUUCUCCAGAUUCAGCAAAAUCCUUGGAGAUUUAAAGUCAUUUGGUAGACCAAUAAAAAGAGGAGAACAGGUCAGAAAAAUCCUAAGAAGUCUUUCCAUGAUUUGGCAACCCAAAGUUAGUGCUCUGGAAUGUCAGGAUCUUGACGAGAUGUCGUAUGAUGAACUUAGAGGUGAUCUAAUUUCCUUCGAGAAAACUCACUUGGACAGGCAGAUUCAACAAGAAAAGACGAAAAGAGUUGCAUUCAAAGCGACUGUGGCUGAACCCGAAAAUGAGAACGGAAGAGGAAGGAGGAGAAUAGGAUGAAAACAUAGCCGUGCUCUCUCAAGUUGUAACAAGCAUGAUGAGGAAAAACAGAAAUAGCAGGAGAGGUAAAUCAAACUUCAGAAAAGAAAUGACGAAUAAUGAUAAUGAUAAAAAUGAUGGAAGAUGCUAUGAAUGUGGAAAAUAUGGACACAUUCAAGCUGAAUGCCCCGAACUGAAGAGGAAACUUAGCAGGAACUUUCAAAAGAAAAAGUCCUUUGGAGCCUGGAGUGAUGAAGAGGAAUUUGACCAUGAAAAAAUUACAAAUAUGUGUUUCAUGUCCAUAAAAGAAGACAACAAUGAGGACUCAAGUGAACUUGGGUUGAUGGCAGACGAAGGAACAGAUGAGGAAGAUAACUCAGGUGAACUUAGUCUUAUGGCAUACGAAGGAACUAGUGAGGUACGUCUUCCUACAUGUCCUAAUUGUUAUGAACUCCAAGAAAUUAUUGAUAUUGCUCUUGCAGAUAUUGAGAGACUUCUAAAUGAACUCAUAAAAAUCAAAAGAGAAGAAAAAUUGGGCCUUAAAGUUCGAAGUUUGUGAAAUUGAGCGUGAUAUGCUUCAAGAUGAAGUUAAUGAACUUCAACUUCAACUGAAUGGAUUGCAAAAAUCCACCAGUCAUAGUUCUAUCAAAUCCAAUCAGAUUGCUCCUCAUACAUCUUUGAUUAUAACUAGAAAUCCUACUGCAUGCUCUUAUUGUGACAAAAAUGAUCACAACACUAACCAAUGCAGGAAUAGAAUCAGAGUAGAAAGAGGCUCUGAAAAUCCCAAUAAUCAUUCUUGCUUUUAUUGCGGAAAACUUGGGCACACUUCUAACCAUUGUAGGUUCAAGGACAACAGGAGAUGGGUCUGGCGACCUAAAUUUUCUAGUCAAGCUAAUACUCAGAAAUCUAACCAUUCAGGACUCAAGCAGGCUUGGGUACCUAAAAACAAGUAAUAUUUUUUUUUUGCAGGAACACCACAAGAAUAAUCGAAAAGGAAAAUAGUACCUUGACCGCACGUGUUCCAGACAUAUGACUGGUGACAAACAGUUAUUCAAAACGGUCACCAAACUAGAUGGAGGAACAUUUACUUUUGGUGAUAAAUCAAAAGGAAACGUAAUUGGAGUUGGAAAGGUUCCCGUCAGCUCAACAUGUGAUGUAGAUGAAGUAUACCUGGUUGUUAAACUUGGUUACAAUCUUCUCAGUAUCAGUCAACUAUGUGACAAAGACUAUGAGGUUCGUUUUAAGAAACAUGAUUUGUUUAUAGAAGACGAAUCAGGUAAAGUUAUUUUUUCUGGUAAUAGAGACAGGAAUGUCUAUACUAUCAGUAAUGUAGAUAGUCUUGGUAAUCAAAUUUGUCUAGCAUCUAUGAUUAAUGAUCCCCGAGUAUGGCAUAGAAAGCUCGGCCAUGCUAGCAUGCAUACUAUUCAAAAACUUUCCAAACACGAUCUUGUCAUUGGUCUUCCAAAACUAGAUUUCUCAAAAGAUCAUAUUUGUGAUGCAUGUCAAUUAGGAAAACAAACUCGUUCAUCUUUCAAAAUCAAAAACAUUGUCUCUACUACUAAACCUCUUCAACUCUUGCAUAUGGAUUUGUUUGGUCCAACUAGAACAGCUAGUACUGGUGGUAAAAAAUAUGCUUUUGUUAUUGUAGAUGAUUUUUCUCAUUUCACUUGGGUUAUUUUUCUAAGUCAUAAAGAUGAAGCUCUAAGGAAUUUUGAAGUUUUCUGUAAGAAAGUUUAACGUGAAAAAGGAUAUUACAUUUCCACUAUCAGAAGUGACCAUGGAGGAGAGUUUGAAAACUUCUGCAAUGAUAAAGGAAUCUCUCAUAACUUCUCUUCGCCAAGAUCACCUCAACAGAAUAGAGUGGUAGAACGUAUAAAUAGAAAGUUGCAGGACAUGGCACAAACUAUGAUUGUAGAAAACUAUCUACCCCACCACUUCUGGGCAGAAGCUGUGAGCACAGCAUGUCAUAUUAUUAACAGAUGUCUAAUUCAACCCAUUAUUAAAAAGACUCCAUAUGAGCUAUGGAAUGGUAAGAAACCCAACAUCAGUUACUUCCACCCAUUUGGAUGCAAAUGCUUCAUCCACAAUAAUGGAAAGGACAAUUUGGGUAAGUUUGAUCCAAAUAGAGACGACGGUAUAUUUCAUGGAUAUUCUCCCUCAAGUAGAGCAUAUAGAGUUUACAAUAAAAGAACUUUAUGCAUUGAAGAAUCAAUUUAUGUUAUUUUUGUGGAUACUAAACCUCGCUCAAGGAACGAAAAACUUCCUGAAGAUGAGGAAAUUUCUAUUGUCCCAAAGUCUGUUGUUGUAGGAAAAGACAGUCAAGAAGAGUCGACCAUUCAGCAGAAUCAGUCAACUGAGGAGCACAUUGAAAUUCAGGAAUCUUCUUCUGCAGAACAGUCAACCACUGGGGAAAAGGAGCAAAUCACAAAUGUUCCAAAUGAAUGGAAAAGUGAACCAGGAUAUCCUCACAAAUUCAUCAUUAGAAAUCCACAAGAGGGUAUCACUACUAGAAGAUCUCAGAAGUUAAACUCUCACGUAGCCUUAAUAUCACAAUUUGAGCCAAAGAAGGUAGAUGAAGCCCUAAAAGAUGGCUAUUGGAUCAAAGCAAUGAAAGAAGAACUUGAUCAAUUUGAAAGAAAUAAAGUGUGGGAAUUGGUUCCAAAACCAUCAAAUGCUUCCAUUGUAGGAACUAAAUGGGUCUUCAGAAAGAAGUUGAAUGAAUCCGGUAAAGUGGUUCAUAACAAAGCAAGGCUAGUUGCUCAGGGUUCCUCUCAGCAAAAGGGACUCGACUACGAUGAAACUUUUGCACCUGUAGCAAGAUUGGAAUCUAUUCGAAUACUACUUGCUUUUGUUGCUCAAAAAGGAUGCAAACUCUUUCAAAUGGAUGUAAGAAGUGCCUUUCUCAACGGAUACAUUUCUGAAGAAGUAUAUGUGAAGCAACCUCCUGGAUUUGUAAGUGGCAGCUUCCCAAAUCAUGUAUUCAAGCUGUCUAAAGCUCUAUAUGGACUCAAGCAAGCUCCCGAGCCUGGUUUGAAAGAUUAAGCUCUUUUCUUCUAAAUCAAGGUUUCAAACGAGGUAAUAUCGACACAACCUUGUUUAUUAAGCACUCAAAUUUAGGUAAUAUUAUUACUAAAAUUUAUGUUGACGAUAUUAUUUUUGGAAGUCCUAACUCUGUACUAUGUGAAGAAUUCACUCAUGCUAUGAAAGGAGAAUUCGAAAUGAGCAUCAUUGGAGAGCUAACAUUCUUUCUUGGACUGCAAAUCAAACAGUCUCCCAAAGGAAUAUUUAUCGGCCAAACCAAGUACACCAAGGAACUUAUAAAGAAGUUUGGCAUGGAGAAUGCAAAGUCCAUUGGAACUCCAAUGAGUUCAACAACAACGCUUGAAGAAGAUUAUAAUGGAAAAAGUGUGGAUGAAACGAUGUAUGGAGGAAUGAUUGGAUCUUUAUUAUAUCUCACUGCUAGUCGACCAGAUAUAAUGUUCAGUGUGUGUAAAUGUGCAAGGUUUCAGUCGGCUCUAAAAGAAUCCCAUUUUACUGCAGUUAAAUGCAUUAUUAGAUAUCUUAUUGGGACCUCUAAAUUAGGAUUAUGGUAUGCUCACUCUAACAAUUUUGUGUUAAAAGGUUUUUCAGAUGCAGAUUUUAUAGGUGAUAAGAUUGAUAAGAAAAGUACUAGUGGCACAUGCCAACUAUUGGGAAAUUCUCUAAUUUCCUGGCAUAGCAAGAAACAAAAUUCUGUUGCUUUGUCAACUACUGAAGCAUAAUAUUUAGCUGUUGGAAGUUGUUGUACACAAGUUCUUUGGAUCAUGCAUCAACUUCUCGAUUAUGAUUUAUCUCUUACCUCUACUCCUAUAUUUUGUGAUAAUACUAGUGCUAUAUAUCUAUCAAAAAAUUUUGUGCAUCACUCUAGGUCAAAGUAUAUAGAAAUUAAGCAUUAUUUUAUCCGUGAUCAUAUUGCAAAAAGGUGAUAUUGUAUUAGAAUUUAUUAAUACCGAAUCUCAACUUGCUGAUAUUUUUACAAAACUUCUUUUAGAAGAAAGAUUUUGUUUACUGGGUAAAAAGAAUGGCAUUAUGCCUAUUUUGUAAAAACUCUUUCGAUUCUGUAUAAUAUAUUUUAUUUCCUUACUUAAGUUUGCUUAAUUGAUGAAGUGUUUUAAUUUUGAUGUGUGUAAUUAUUACACUCCCAUCGGUGCCGCCGAAGAAACUCCUCAUAAGUGUCACUUCAUUAUGAACCUGGCCUUUCCUUAACCGAGGCAACCCUUCAACCUUCCAAGCACCUAGAUAAGAAACCUUCUCUCCCUCUCAUUCUUCAUAUACUCUAACAAAAUUUCCUUACCAUGGCAAAAAGAAACCUCUAAUCUUCCACUGUCACCAGACGAAGCAGACGAUUUCAGAAAACCCACAACCCCGAAGAAACUGUAGACCUGGAAUCAUCACCUCGACUUAGACUUUCUUAAAACCGACAAUGAAAGUAAUGAAUCAUCGGAGGAUCUACCUAUUAUUCAGAAAAAGGCAGGAAAGAGACCUAUGGAGGAAACCCCCAAAAAUCCUACAUGCAAGAAAGGGAAAGUGGAAAGCAUGGAUUUUGGGCCAGAGGAUAAACUAAACUUUUAUGGACCAAGUGAGAAAUCAAGGUUUGAGUCCUACAAGUCAAAAUCUAUAGCUUAUGGACGCUCUGUAAGUCUUUCUCUUAUGAAAAGUCUGCAUUGUGAUGUGAUUGCUAUUUUUGACUUUCAACGUCUUUCUUCUAUGUUUGAUACUAUUGGAAAUUCCGUGUAUGAAGAGCCUGUGAGAAUGUUCUAUGCUAAUCUGUUUGUUAAUGACAAAGAUGGCUUGGAAUCCAUGGUUUUAGGCACUCGAACUGUUCUUGACUCUUAUUAAUUUGAUAAAGUAUUUUCUGCUAAGUUCCAUGGAUAUGGUGUUUUGUGCAAAAUUCCUGGCCAAAAGAUUUUGAAGUUUCCUUAGAAGAGGCAAAAGCUUUUCUGUCGGAUAACCCCCUGACAUUGGUCCUAAAAAUCUGAAGUUUGAACACCAAGCUUUAGCCCACAUGAUAGCCACCACUUUACUUCCUAGAUACUUUGACUACUAAAGAUAUUUUUGUUCUUUAUUGUCUUGUGAACAAUAAAAGACUUGAUUAGUUUGUGUGGAUUCGUCAAUAUAUGCUUGAAAGUAUCAGGGAUAUAUCCUUUUCUGUUGCUUGUCUACCCUAUGAUUUGCUCAUCUCACACAUUCUUGAAGUUAUGAAGGUUGAUUUGGCACCUUUCUCAUCCAAGCACAUUACCAGUACCUAUGAUAAGACUGCAUUUUCUAUGAUGGGUUACACCUUAAGUGACGACGGAUGGGUCAGGCGUGCCAAAGUUGAAAGUGCUCCAGUACAGGUUGAAGCACCGACUGAACCAACGGAGACUCAGUCGACUGCCACUAACAACCUACAGGAGAUUCAGCAAAAUCUAGAUGGGAAAAAAAUCCUUCUCAUUGCAAUGAAAGAACAAGCGGACAAAAUCCGGGAAGUCGCCAAGGAAAUAGGUACAGAUGUGGCUAAGCUCAAGAUGGUCAUGGGAGCCACGAGGAGGCAAGGGAUCAGGGCAUUCAAUUCCAUGACAGAAAAGAUGGACAAAAUCACCAAAGAAGUUGAAACCUCCUAUGACGCCUUCUACACCAAAGUGAUCAAUACCCUGAAGUACUUUCUAGGGAGAAACUAAAGCAGUGCAUGUGUGUUAUAAAAUUUUUGCUUUUAUUUUGUGACUUCUUUUUUUGUUUGUUUUUGCAUUGGUCUGUAAGAACCAUCACUCUAUGCUUCUGCUGAAGGCAUAACCUCUGCUACCCUAACUAAUCUGUCUAUUAUCUGCCUAUUAUAUACUCUAUUAUGUAUGUUUUGUAUUCAUUUUUUUUCUUUUUGAUUGAUGUUAAAGGGGGAGAAAAAUCUGAAGAGUAAACCAAAGCAACAACUCAAGGGGAGCAGUGAUAUGCAAAUCUAAGUAACAACUCAGGGGGAUCAGGCAUCUCAAGCUAUUAAAGGGAAGUAUACUCUGUUUACUCUCUCUUGAUUGUCAUUAUCAAAAAUGGAGAGAUUAUUACAUCUAAGUUUCAAUGAUGACAAUAGUACAAAUCUAAUCGUAUCUAUUUGAUUGCAGGAAAUCAGGAAGUAGCACUACUUCAAAGAAAGUUCAAAGGCAAGGAUAUCAGAAUGGAAACGAGAUCAAAGGCAACAUAAACAAUGCUAAAUCAAAGGAAGUCAAAGCCUUCAAAAAGGAAACAAAAUCAGUCUAGACGCUUUAGUUUCAAUCAAAGGAUAUCACGGCUAUCUCAACAAGGAAACAAAUCAAGUGUAGCUGCUAAAGAAUAUCAGGCCAUACUUCAAGGACUAAAUUAGAAUUAGAAGAUUGAUCAACCAAAUCGAAGCCACAAAUCACUCCCUGAAAUUUGGAUAUGAAAGGGGAAGGACGUAAACGAAUCCAGCACAUCUCACGUGCAUGAUUUAGAGGCACCCCUUGGGUCAAAUCUCUUAGAGGAUUCUGUGCCUCAAUCAAAGAUCAAUCUGCAACGGCUAUUCAAACUCUCCUAUACGAAGACGGGCAAUCUCAAGAAGAAGAUUCUUGCAACUACACAAACUAUUUUCUAAGCCUUUCUAAUUCUUAGUACAAACACUGUAUUCUUGAGUGUACAAGUAUCACAAAAGAUAGGAAGAGUUAGAACACAAAAAGAGAGUUGUGUCAACAUUACAAAAACAUUGUUGUUGAAUAUCGUUGAUGGUGAAUGUACUAAAACCAUCACUAUUGUAAUCCUUUAUCAAAGAUCUAAGAGAACCCUUAUGACCCAAGGGAACUGGACGUAGGUACCAUACCGAUAUUGAACCAGUAUAAAAACUGUUGUGCCUUCUUUAUCUUUCCGUUUGUUUAUUUCAUUCCUACUGAAAUUGUUCACUGUGCAAAACCUAGUCGACUAAACUCACACUUAUUCAACCAAGAUUUUAAUUGGCUACAAUUCACCCCCUCUAGAAGAUUCUUCAAUUUUUGUUUUUUAAAUUCCUCUGCCUCCUGCAUCAGAUCUUUAUCUAACGAAUUCUCAUCUUAUAGCUUUCCAGAAACUGACUUUAAAAGGUCUAUCUUGAGUUUUAGAGUUGUUAAAAUUUUCUGAUUAAAUUCAAUUUUUAGUUUCAUUUUUAUUCUUUCGCUAAUAAGCCAUUGUCAUACUAACUGUUUGAAACUUUAACUAAUCAUUCAAGAGACUUAGAUAAUUGAAAUCUAAGGAUUUGUCCAUGACUUUUUUAUAUUAGUUUCAAAUUGAGUCAUAAAUAAAGCCACCUUCCAUGAGGGAAACCAUCAAGACCAUACUCGCAAAUGAGAAAAAUUAUUAUCCUUCUGCUAAUAUUCAUCUCGAGAAUAAAAUUUGAAUUACCUUUUUCUAUGAGCACACUGACCACCGAAACCUGUAUGUCCAAGCCAAAAAGUCAACAUAGAGAUGCAGUUGUAUUACUUGCAAAUAUUUUUACAAACAAGAUAAUGAAGGUAAGUUGGUAGAAGACAUAAAGAGAGUUUUAACUAUAUUUGAAUAACCUCUCAGUUGAACAUGUUGGGAAAAAUAAUAUCCCACCCACGAGUAAUAUCUACGAUAAAUAAUAAUGACACAAGAGAGUAACAAUGAAACCAAAUCUUUUAACGGGGUAAAAUUUAAUAUCCGAGAAGAGCAAUAUAAUACCACUAUAAUAUUACAACGUUAUAAUGUCAAAAGACUACUAUGACUCAGAAGAAAUAAUACUCUUUAUUUUAAAUAUCUCACCACAAUACUAUUACCACUCUAUUUUCUCACAUACUAUAAAAUUGUCUGUGGAUUACUCUCACAGCUCUAAUACUUCAUUCUUAU